RNAcentral lists this ribosomal RNA (462 nucleotides) under uncultured bacterium. RNAcentral's name for it is "partial 16S ribosomal RNA". It matches the Rfam family "Bacterial small subunit ribosomal RNA", at positions 28 to 507 of the family's 1533-position model. The record is from RNAcentral.
GAUGAACGCUGACAGAAUGCUUAACACACGCAAGUCAUUGGCGAAGCUGCGCUUGCGCAGUCUAGCCAAGGCGGACGGGUGGGUAACGCGUAAGGAACUUGCCCUGCAGACAGGGAUAACAGACGGAAACGACUGAUAACACCUGGUAUUGUCAGGCUGGCGCAUGCCGGCCUGAUGAAAGGAGACGCUGCAGGAGAGCCUUGCGUCCUAUUAGCUAGUUGGUGGGGUAACGGCCCACCAAGGCGAUGAUAGGUAGCCGGCCUGAGAGGGUGAACGGCCACAAGGGGACUGAGAUACGGCCCUUACUCCUACGGGAGGCAGCAGUGGGGAAUAGUGGACAAUGGGGGCAACCCUGAUCCAGCAAUUCUGUGUGCACGAAGAAGGUUUUCGGAUUGUAAAGUGCUUUCAGCAGGGAAGAAGAAAGUGACGGUACCUGCAGAAGAAGCGACGGCUAAAUACGUG